Molecule: long non-coding RNA, 1318 nt
Filed under: Capsicum annuum
Lineage: Eukaryota; Viridiplantae; Streptophyta; Magnoliopsida; Solanales; Solanaceae
Description: long non-coding RNA (CANN_LNC014457)
Source: RNAcentral
UCUAUUUUUUGUUAUUUUGCUUUGCUUUGCUCGCUUAGAUUAUGUCAAAAAGGGGAGAAAGUUAAACAUCAUAACAGAAGGCCUUCAAGUAAGGGGAGCUAGUCGACUAUAAGGACAGGGAAUUUAAAUAAUGAGGAAGGCAGCGAGUCAAUAAGAAAGGGGGAACCAGUCGACUAUAAAGACAAGGAAGUCAACUGAUGUUUAUUGUUUGUCAUUAUUAAAAAGAAGGAGAUUGAUAGCUCCCUAUGUUGACAUAAUAUGUUUUAAUAAUGACAAACUAAUUAGUUGAUAAUAUGUAGGAUACAACAAAGAUGUAAACUUGGUAGAGUAUCUCGCACAAUCCCUAACUACAAGGAAGUCAGAGAUGGAUUUGGAACAACAUCAAGAAAAGAUCUCAUUAGAUCCCAAACUACAAGGAAGACAAUCGGCAAUCCCAGAGCAACAUGGAAAGAAGAUCUCAUAGAGAAACCAUGAAAGGAAGGAAAAUCACACCCCUUUAUGAACACAUUUGAUAUGGACAUGAAUAGUUAUGAGUCUGUAUCCAAGAAAGGCAGAUCAUAUAUUAUGUAUGGACAAAUCUGAUAUGGACGUACUAUAUGAUGUGAAUCCUCAAUCAAGGAAUCAUUUUAAAUCCUUGAUUGAGAAGAAAUCCCUUGGGUUUUCCUUAUGGAUCAAAGAAGCCGGAGCAGCUGAAGGAUAUAAAAAGAAAGACUGAAGAUCAAGACAUCUCACGUAACUUAACCAAAAAUUCUUAGUGUGUCUCAAUCUUAGUCUCCAUAAAGCUUUGUAAUUUCAAGUUUACAAUAGUUACAAAAAAGAAAGGCCGAGUCAACUUAGUCAUAUUAGUUGAGGCUUUGUUACAAGAUCUACAUAACAAAAUGAGUUUAAGAAAUUGUUUACUCCAUCUGUAUUCCAACUCAUACUUUGAAAGCUCGAACGAAACCCUUGUAAUCCAAGAGGACUAAAAGUAGGCACCACACUGGUGUUCCAAACUAGGAUAAAUCUUUGUAUUAUUUUCUUACUUACUUGUUUAUUUGCUUACGCAUUUAAAUUUAGUCUAUUUUAUUCAGUAUAGUAAUCUGCAGGUGAGUUGAUUGUCAAGACUGAUCAGUCGACUUAGGAAAAGUUUUAAUUCACCCUUCCUCCUCCCCCCUCCCCCUUCUUGAAUUUCAGUUCGGAUGAGUCCCCUCAUUCUAUUCUAACUCCACCCCUGAUGGUAUGCAUUAAGUUUUGGCAUUUGCUAUUAAUUAAUGAUUGUAAUUACUCUAUUAACUUUUCUUAGGAGUUGAAUUGUUAAAGUUAAUUCAUAUACUUGCAG